AAUUUUGCUCAAUGGGCGCAAGCCUGAAGCAGCGACGCCGCGUGAAUGAUGAAGUCUUUCGGGAUGUAAAGUUCUGUCGAUGGGGACAAUAAUGAUGGUACCCAUAGAGGAAGCACCGGCAAACUAUGUGCCAGCAGCCGCGGUAAUACAUAGGGUGCAAGCGUUAUCCGGAUUUACUGGGCGUAAAGCGUAUGUAGGUGGUGUUCUAAGUCAAACUUUAAAUACUGAGGCUUAACUUCGGUUCGGGUUUGAUACUGGAAUGCUAGAGUUUGGGAGAGGAAAGCGGAACUAACAGUGUAGCGGUGAAAUGCGUAGAUAUUGUUAGGAACACCCGUGGCGAAGGCGGCUUUCUGGACCAAUACUGACACUGAGAUACGAAAGCGUGGGGAGCAA
Molecule: ribosomal RNA, 393 nt
Filed under: uncultured bacterium
Lineage: Bacteria
Description: bacterial SSU rRNA
Rfam family: Bacterial small subunit ribosomal RNA
Source: RNAcentral